GAACUUGAUAGAGGUGCGGAUUUCAUCAGUAAGGAAGAACGAUAGUUUGGAAGACUGUUCUUUCAGAAAGGGGGAUUUGCCGAAGGAGUCAGAUAUUCCGGAUCUGAUUUCUGGGACGCAGACAGAAGAUGUUGCGUACUGUCACAGGAAUGUGGAGCGCUAUCACAGUA
This is a regulatory RNA element of Dorea sp. CAG:105, 170 nucleotides long. It matches the Rfam family "Lysine riboswitch aptamer". From Rfam's summary of the family: Riboswitches are metabolite binding domains within certain messenger RNAs that serve as precision sensors for their corresponding targets. Allosteric rearrangement of mRNA structure is mediated by ligand binding, and this results in modulation of gene expression. The record is from Rfam. NCBI's taxonomy places the organism in Bacteria, Bacillati, Bacillota, Clostridia, Lachnospirales, Lachnospiraceae.